This is a long non-coding RNA of Lycium ferocissimum, 5484 nucleotides long. RefSeq lists it as uncharacterized. The transcript has 2 exons. The record is from RefSeq and is a predicted model, not a curated record. NCBI's taxonomy places the organism in Eukaryota, Viridiplantae, Streptophyta, Magnoliopsida, Solanales, Solanaceae.
CAUACAUACAUACAUAUAUAUAUAUAGAUGAGAUUUUCUGUAAAGGGUGGUUGCCCGUCUCUGCCAUGUCCAUGAUUUCUUUUCUCCAUUCAUUAAAAGAACCAACAGCCCUUUGAGAAAAAGAAAAAGAUCCAAGAAAAUGAAAAAGAAACCAUGUACGCGUUUGGCCACGGCUUCCAAUCUGCUUCUGCUACUACUACAUCUGAUUUUCGCAUAUAUCCACUUUUUAAGAGUUCUGAACGUAAAUGACAUGAAAAAAUGGGCUGUGAUGAUGAUUUGCUUCUUUCUGGGCUCAUAAUCUACUUUACUCAUUGCAUUGAGAAGAUCCGACCCCUAUCUUGGCGGGGCGACCCGGUACGGCAUCCGUUUGCAAAUCGGUGUCUGCAGCCAUGGCGGGUGUCGCUUUCUCUUCGCAUGUUUGUAGAACAGCAAAAUCUGAGCCCUAAAAGUUUUUACUGGAACACUCAAUUGGGUUCUUCAGUUUCAAAUUUUAGCUCAAAGUUGAGGUAAUCGGAGAAAAAAGAGGAUUUUUCAGGGUGGUUGACUAUCUUCGGUAUGCCUAUGAUUUCUUUUUUGCUCUAAUCAACGCCCUUUUAGCUCAAAAAAUGAAAAAGGGACUAUAUAUGCUCUUCCUUUUUCUGAUUUUGCAUACUACUACAGCUGCUUUUCGCAAACAGCCAUUUUUAUGUCCCUGUAAAAUACAAGGUAGAAAUGGCACAAUAAGGUAGCUGCUUUUUUAAAAGUUCUGAACCUAUGUGUUCUAUUGGUGUUGAUUGAUCUGAAAAAUGGGCUAAGAAUCAUGGUUUGCUUUUUCUGGGCUAUAAUCUACUGCACUACUUGAUGAAAUGAACGAAUUGUCCUUCAAAUGGCUGGUCUUUUUAAUUUUUGCCCAUCAAAUGGACUGCUCUUUAACACUGCUUUCAGAAAAUCCGACCCGUAUCUUGGCGGGGCGACCCGGUACGGCAUCCAUCUGCAGAUUGGUGUCUGCAGCCAUGGCGUAUGUUGCUUUCUCUUUGCAUGUUCAUCUACAGCAAAAUCUGAGCCCUAAAGUGUUUCAUUGAUGUUGAUUGAUCUGAAGAAUGGGCUAUGAACUAUGAUGAUGAUUUGCUUUUUCUGGCCUAUACUGCACUGCUUGAAGAAAUUGCACGAAUUGUCCUUCAAAUGGCUGGUCUUUUAAUUUUUGCCCUUCAAAUAGGAUGGUCUUUAACACUGCUUUCAGAAAAUCCGACCAGGUUCUUGGCAGGGCGACCCGGUACGGCAUCUAUUUGCAAUCCGGUGUCUGCAGCCAUGGCGUGUGUCGCUUUCUCUUUGCAUGUUUGUAGAAUAGCAAAAACUGAGCCCUCAAAGUUUUAGACAAAAAAUGAGGCAAUCGGAGAAAAAUGGGAUUUAUUUAGGGUGGUUGACCAUCACCGGCAAAGCAGCAGCAAAAGCAUAGAGAAAUUAGGUUCAGCCAGUACGAAGAAUGGAAAAGGGCCAAACAUACCCCUCUACUAUGAAGAAUGAGGCCAGCAGAGUGAAAAAGGGAAUUCUUGGAGGGUGGUAUGCCCCUCUAUUUGGCCUAUGAUUUCCCCAUAAACAAAAUUAACAACCAUCUUCGGAAGUACUAGUAUGUUUUCUUGUUUUACCUGAGCUUAGCAAACAUACUCUGAUCUUAUCUUAUGUACGUUAAAAAUUGCUCGAAAUUGUGUCCAAACACUGAAACACCUAAUUGUGGGAAAGUUUCCAUCUUUCAAAAGAGGCUGUAAUGAUAAUGCUUAUGGCAGAAACCUCACCAUAGUUUAGCCCAGAAAGUAAGAAUGAGACAUCAGAGAGAGAUGGGAUUUUUUGUAAAGGGUGUUGCCCUUUUCUGCCAUGUCCAUGAUUUCUUCUCCAUUCAUGAAAAUCAACAAUCCUCUGAGAACAGAAAAACAAGAAAAGGAAAAUGACAAUUGAUAAACCAUCUCAACAAUACCCCAUGAGUAUUCCUCUGUAAAAAGAGGCCAUGCUCUUCCCUUCUCUGCUUCUGCUGCAACCACUGCUAUCUAUGAUAAACAGCAGCCCAAAAAGUAGAUAUGUGGUGUCAUUUCUACGUUGAUCGCCGCAGAUCACCUGAAAAGGGGCAGUGAUGAUGAUUGCUUCUUUCUGUGCUAUUAGUUUACUGAUUUGAGAAAUCUGACCCGUAAUCCUGGCGAGGCAAUCCGGUAGCAAAAUAAGUUCAAUGAGGCAGUGAUGAUUUUCAUUCUUUACGCAUCAGAUGGUUGAGCUUUGCUAUAUCUUGGCGUGGCAUCUUUUUGGAGUCUUUUGAGAUAUGGGAGCUAUUUAGGUUUCUGUGUCUCACAAAGGCUUCUUAAGCUUGCAGCCAUUAGUGGUGUUUAGCUUAUGUAUGAGAGAAUGUUAAUCUUUGUGUCCUAGGAAUGAGGCUUUUUAUGGAACUCGAGAAAGGUUGAGAUUUUCUAAGGGUGGUUAUUCUCUUUCUCUGUAGUUCAAAUUUGCCAAUGAAUUUCCCUAUACCUUUGUUACACAGAAAGAUUUAGAGCCCUUUUGUCAACAAAAAUGCCAAUUAUGGUGAUGACGAGGAUGAUAGCCAUGUUUAUGGUGGUAAUAAGGAAUAGGCCACAUACAUAGAUACCUCUUAAACCUCCCUUAAACUUGGCGCAAUUUGUCUGCUUGCCUCUUAAACUUGUCUGGAGAAAUCCUUUGUACUUGGAUCCUAACCCCUAAACUUGGGAAAUGAGGAUAUGGUGAUAUUCUCCAGGAAGUUUAAAGUUAAAACUUUUGAGUGCUAGGCAAAGGCAGGGGAAUUUGUGAGGUCGGUUCUUAUGUGCUCUCUCACAAAGGUGUCUGCUUCUUGCAGCCAUGGCAGAUUAGCCAUUCUUCUGACAGAUUUUAAAGGCAAAUCUGAGCCUCUUUUGUGUUCAAAGAAUGAGGCUUUCUAUAGAACUCGAGAAAGGUUGGGAUUUCCUGAGGGUGGUUACUCUCUUUCUCUGAAGUUCAAUUUAGCCAAUGAAUUUUCCUAUGCUUUUGUUUUAAAGAGAUUUUAACAGCCCUUUCAUCAAAUUGACGAUUAUGAUCUUGAGGGUGAUGAUGUUGUUGUAUGGUGAUGAUGAUGAUGAUAGCCAUGGUUAUGGAGGAAAAUACAUAUUCUUACCCCCUAAACUUUUCCGGUAAACCCAAAUUUCAUGUUCUUUCUUCUGUUUUUGAAGAAUCCCAAUUUCAGAAGAAUUAUUUUAUGUAUUCAUCUCCACAUUUUCCUAGAGAGAGAUUAUUAGGUACUGAUAUGAAACAAGCCCAAAGCUUUUAUGUAUUGUGGACUCAUAUACUGUCUGAGGCUAAUUGUUACGUUGCUUAAUUUAUCUUACACAUUUUUUAUCUAUUGUGGACACAAGUCAGGAGCUUUUAUGUAUUGUGGACUCAUAUGGCCAUUUUAGACCAUUUCCAAGCCCAUUCUGUGUAAUUUCCUGAAUUUUAGGACCCUUGUUUAAAGAAUAGCCCAGUAUGAAGAAUGAGGCUAACAGGGAGGAAAAAGGAACUCUUUGGAGGGUGGUUGCCCUCUCUGAUUGGCCUAUGAUUUCUCCCACCGACCAAACCAACAACCCUCCAAUGGUGUGCCCCCCCAACCCAAAACCAACCAACAGAAAAAAAAGAAAAAAACUGUUGUCAUUGAUGAAAUGUUGAUAGCAGCAUACUAAUACUCCCUCCGCCUCAAUUUACUUGUCUUGAAAACUGUCCACAAAUGCAAAAAGUUACCAUCUUUCUAAUGAGGCAGUGAUGAUAUUGCUUACUCUGGGCUGAAAUUCGGGGCAUGGAGAAAACCCGGCUGGUAUUUUGGCGGGGCAAACCCGGAUCACGCGAUCGGUUCGUUUUGCAGCCAUGGCAUUGUCGUCUUCUCUUUUGACCCAUUUUAACUCAGAUCUGAGCCUCAACUUCCAGGAUCCGAAUUUGAUGGAAGCCCCUUUUUUCACUUUAGCUCAAAAGGAUGAGGCAAUCGGAGAAAAUUUGGGGAUUUUUUCAGGGCGGUUGACCAUCUUCGGUAUGUCAAUGAUUUCUUCUCUGCUCUAAUAUAUCCCUUUUAACUUGGAUCAUUUUCACUUAAUGCCCCUAGUUUUGCUGGUCUUUAGGGUCUGUUUGGAAAGCCACCUGGUAAUUGGAAUUGGUGUAGUUACUAGUGUAGUAAUUUCACAAUAUAGUAAUUACUAAUUUUUGUCCCGAAUUUGAAGGGCAAAUCGUGCAAUUUAUUCUUUUAGCUUUUGUAUGUGAAUGAAGUGCACAAAUAGCCUAUUUUAGACCAUUUCAAGGGCAUUGUGUGUAAUUUCCUGGACUUUUAGGGACUUACCCUUUACAGAGUAAUGGAAGCUCAGCCCAGUACGAAGAAUGAGGCCAACAGGGGAAAAUGGUAAUUUAUUUGGAGGGUGGUUGCUCUCUCUGAUUGGCCUAUGAUUUCUCCUUUAACCAAAACAACAACCCUUUGCAAAACUUGAAACAAGAAACAACAUUUGUUACGCUCACAGAUCUGAAGGUCUCAUUUGUUUUAUUAAUUUUUCUUGUUAAAGUGGUCCAAACAGGCUCUUAUGGUAAAGAAGUUUCAAUUUUUUCGAAACAGGCAGUGAUGAUAUUGCUAAUAUGGGCUGACCAUCGGGGCAUGGAGAAAACCCGACUUGUAUCUUGGUAUUAUGCAACCGAUUUGUUUUGCAGCCAUGGCGUUGGCGUCUUCUGUUUUGGCCCAUUUUACACAGAUCUGAGCUUCAACUUCCAAUGAGUCACUGUGAACUUUUCUGGAUUCGAACCAGAACCUUUUUAGAUGGAAACACUGUUCAUUUUGGCUCGAAAGGAUGAGGCAAUUGGAGAAAAAUGUGGAUUUUUCAGGGUGGUUGACCAUCUCCGGUAUGUCAAUGAUCUAAUCAAAGUCCUUUUAGCAUUUGUAUGUGGGCAAAAGUGCACAGAUAACCGCUAUUUAACGAAUAGCAGAAGUUCAGCCCAGUAUGAAGAAUGAAGCCAACAGGGAGAAAAAGGGAUUUCUUGGAGGGUGGUUCCCCCCUCUGCUUGGCCUGUGAUUUAUUUUCUCCAUCAACCAAGCCAACAACCCUCUGCAAAAGUGGAAACAAGAAAAUUAUUUCUUGCCCUCAUCUUCAAUUGUGACGCUGUGAUGCUGAUAACAAUAGUACCUUUCAAUGUUCUUAUAUUUCUGAGCUAGCUUAGACCAAAUGUUUUUGGUCCGUAACAUCAACAGAUCUGAAGGUUUCAUUUGUUUUAAGAUUUUUUUUUUGUUGAAGUUGUCCAAACAGGCUAUUAUGGGGAGGUUCCAAUUUUUUCGAAAGAGGCGAUGAUGAUAUUAUUAAUCUGGAUUGAUGUUUGGGUCAUAGAGACAAUUGAACCCGUUUCUUGGCAUGGCAAACCUGAAUGGUUUGUGAUAGAGUGUUCUUUUUCACAUUUUUAACUGGUUCUUUUGCAGUCAUGAUAUUGUCCCCGUCUCUUUUCUCCAUUUUUUCCACAGAUCUGAGCCUCAAU